GACGAACGCUGGCGGCGUGCUUAACACAUGCAAGUCGAACGGAAAGGCCCCCUUGUGGGGUACUCGAGCGGCGAACGGGAGAGUAACACGUGAGUAACCUACCCUUGACUUUGGGAUAACUUCAGGCAACUGGGGCUAAUACCGGAUAGGAGCUCCUGCUGCAUGGCGGGGGUUGGUAUGCUUCGGCGGUUGGGGCUGGACUCGCGGCUUAUCAGCUUGUUGGUGGGGUAGUGGCACACCAAGGCUUUGACGGGUAGCCGGCCUGAGUGGGUGACCGGCCACAUUGGGACUGAGAUACGGCCCAGACUCCUACGGGAGGCAGCAGUGGGGAAUAUUGCACAAUGGGCGGAAGCCUGAGGCAGCAACGCCGCGUGCGGGAUGACGGCCUUCGGGUUGUAAACCGCUUUCGCCUGUGACGAAGCGUGAGUGACGGUAAUGGGUAAAGAAGCACCGGCUAACUACGUG
RNAcentral lists this ribosomal RNA (465 nucleotides) under uncultured bacterium. RNAcentral describes it as "partial 16S ribosomal RNA". It matches the Rfam family "Bacterial small subunit ribosomal RNA", at positions 28 to 507 of the family's 1533-position model. The record is from RNAcentral.